GGGGAAUCUUGCGCAAUGGGCGAAAGCCUGACGCAGCGACGCCGCGUGGGUGAUGAAGGCCUUCGGGUUGUAAAGCCCUGUGGGGAGGGAAGAAUAGGCGGCAGCUAAUAUCUGCCGUGAUGACGGUACCUCCUUAGCAAGCACCGGCUAACUCUGUGCCAGCAGCCGCGGUAAGACAGAGGGUGCAAACGUUGUUCGGAAUUACUGGGCGUAAAGCGCGUGUAGGCGGUCAUGCAAGUCGGGCGUGAAAUCCCUGGGCUCAACCGAGGAAGUGCGCUCGAAACUGCAUGACUGGAGUUCCGGAGAGGAUGGUGGAAUUCUCGGUGUAGAGGUGAAAUUCGUAGAUAUCGAGAGGAACACCAGUGGCGAAGGCGGCCAUCUGGACGGAAACUGACGCUGAGACGCGAAAGCGUGGGUAGCAAAC
This 424-nucleotide ribosomal RNA is filed under the name uncultured bacterium. RNAcentral describes it as "bacterial SSU rRNA". It matches the Rfam family "Bacterial small subunit ribosomal RNA", at positions 356 to 773 of the family's 1533-position model. The record is from RNAcentral.